GUCCGGGCUCCAUAGGGCAAGGUGCCAGGUAACGCCUGGGGGGUGUCACAGCCCACGACCAGUGCAACAGAGAGCAAACCGCCGAUGGCCCGCGCAAGCGGGAUCAGGUAAGGGUGAAAGGGUGCGGUAAGAGCGCACCGCGCGGCUGGUAACAGUCCGCGGCACGGUAAACUCCACCCGGAGCAAGGCCAAAUAGGGGUUCAUAAGGUACGGCCCGUACUGAACCCGGGUAGGCUGCUUGAGCCAGUGAGCGAUUGCUGGCCUAGAUGAAUGACUGUCCACGACAGAACCCGGCUUAUCGGUCAGUUUCACCU
This 314-nucleotide RNase P RNA is filed under the name Klebsiella pneumoniae. Its description in RNAcentral is "partial RNase P RNA component class A". It matches the Rfam family "Bacterial RNase P class A", at positions 50 to 367 of the family's 367-position model. Rfam says of the family: Ribonuclease P (RNase P) is a ubiquitous endoribonuclease, found in archaea, bacteria and eukarya as well as chloroplasts and mitochondria. Its best characterised activity is the generation of mature 5'-ends of tRNAs by cleaving the 5'-leader elements of precursor-tRNAs. Cellular RNase Ps are ribonucleoproteins. The record is from RNAcentral. Lineage: Bacteria; Pseudomonadati; Pseudomonadota; Gammaproteobacteria; Enterobacterales; Enterobacteriaceae.